ACAACAGUCAAAGCGGGAUGAAAAGACUAUUUUCUUGUUUUAUUAAUUUACCGAAUUUACCGACAUGGUCAAAAUUACGUCGGUCAUCGUGAAGAAUUUCGGUGACGGUAAAUUUUCGGUUUACCGCCCAGCUCUACUGGAAAUGAACUGCCGUCUGCAAAGACCAAAGUAGAUCCGCAGAAUUGCUUGAUGUUCGGCUUCAAUUGAACACGACCUGAGAUGAUCUGAGCCGGGGGUACUGUACAGCCACCUUGAAGCGGAUGUGCGGUAGAAGACCGAAGUUCUGCGCGUAGAGUCGCAGGUAGAGCAGCACCUCGGAGUGAUGCAUGUUGUUGGGGAGCUGCGCGGGAGGUGGGAAGUCACUGAAGGCCAUUCUUUCCUUGGAGGUGUUGAGUACCACCGUCUCGUAAAUGUUAGCCCGUCCGGGCUCUGGUUCCUCCUGUUGUGCGUCGAUAAGAAGCUGUUGCAUGUUUCAGUCAAAAUGUGUGUGGUCUGUUGAGCAAACCUUGAAUCUCCAUAGACCGCCGAUGUCCGGGCCGCUCUCAAAACAAGUGGGCUCCAGCCCUUCCUCCAAGCAGGACUUGAUGCUGGUCAAGCCUGAAAUCCCUGCGCCAAUCACGGCUACCUUCUGAACCAUGCUGGAGACAAAAUCAAUGCGUUGUCAGGUGCAGAACAGGUUUUGACUUUUUACAACCUGGCGGGAUGUGCUGCAUUCCAUUCACGAUAAUGAGUAAGUGUUGCAGCACGAAGAGUAAUACUGUACAAUACUGUACUUUACACAGUUUUUAAAUGGAAAUCUUGAUUUUUUUUUUUAACUUGCCAAAGCCAUAAUUCGGAAGUGACCCAUAAAUUCACCCAAAUUAACUGGAAGUGACCCGUAAUGUUAGGCCCUCUGCCCCUCCCUCCUGAGUCCUGACCCACCUUGGGCAGGUGCAACUGUUUUUAUCUGAUUACAGGUUGGGACGUUUGACGGGUGGAGUGGCCACAGGUGGCAAUAACAAUCUGCCUUCUUUAAAAGCCAGUGGAUGCCACCACCUCGUCGCCCGAUCAACUCGUCUGAUUACCUCAGACCUGUCUUAUGUGCGGCGAUUGUCGGAUUCCACGCCUGCGUCCUUCCGAGCUAGCCGAACCUUGCCUAUACGCUGACUAUGCAGCUACUUAGGUCCACCACUAGGGGCCCCCCAAUCUGGCAACCUCAUUUUAUACGUUGUUAAUAGAGCAUCGUGAAUGCGAGCAUCGGCAAUGCGCGCAUGUUGCCGUUUAUCUAUGCAAACAUCCAUUUUCUUGUCAUUACAAUCUGGCAACUUGGGGAUUGACGUUGAACCUGCUUUGCGAUGAUUGGUGCUCAAACUUGCUUGGAAACUAGAUGCAUGAAUAUGUCGAAGAGAAUUUAUCCUUCUGGAGCAGAGAAACGAAAGAAGAAGAAAAUCGGAGAAGAAAAGAACAGUAUCAAGGUAAUAGAGCAUGUUGUUGAUGUUGUUGUUGUGCAAGACACUUAGACUUGAACGUUGUUGUCAGCUGAGCUUUUCAAUAUGUCAUACUCAGGGGUGAAAGUGGCUAGAAUUUCUUGCCGGAACUCCCCGAUGUGAAGGUCGCCAUGAAGCCAGAAAUCUUAUUUAUUUAUUUAUUUUUUUAAAUGUAUUUUUAUUGUACUUUUUGCAUAAGUACAAAUGACUUAUGCAGAGUGAAAUGGAAUAUAUUUUGAAGAUCGUGCAAACAUUAACUUUUUUAAAUCAUAAGGAAAUGAAUAAGUAGCCUAACAUAAAUGAACAAAUAUAAGUCCAAAGUGCACAUUGACAGCUAAAAUGUUCUGAACCUCCACAUCAGAGUAAAUAAAACUAAAUACGAUUAAUAAGCCUCCUCAAGUCUUUCGUUGCUCUUAAAAAUGUGAUCCAUUUUAUGUUGAAUUGCCCUUUUUUUGUCACUUUUUUUUUUUUUGCUGUUACAGAAAACAUGCACAUUUGAACCAAUCAGAGCUAACCAUCUCUGCUGAUCAUAUGUCAGUGUGUCAGCCAAUUGAACGGAUAAAUGAGUCCAGGCGUUUUGCUUUGCUGCGUGCAUUCGCACAUUGACGUGACUCAUCAUCGUCAGACUCAGAUAAUAACUGCAGCAGCUGGGGAAACCUCCAUGCUGUCCGUGGAAUAAAAUCAAUAAUAAAUAUUGGCUGGCAACCAGUUCAGGGUGUCCCCUGCCUACUGCCCAUAGUUAGCUGAGAUAGGCUCCAGCACCUCCGCGACCCUCGUGAGGUAAAAGCGGCAUGGAAAAUGAAUGAGUUGCUCUUACUCAAUAAAUUUAAGUACCACUUUGCAUCAACUUUUGAGUUGAGAAAUUAAAAUGAAGGAGUUAUAGCAACCUAAAUGAAGUAGUUUUAUUUCUUAUUAAUGCUAAAACUUGGACUUAAAAAUUG
Molecule: long non-coding RNA, 2407 nt
Organism: Corythoichthys intestinalis (scribbled pipefish)
Lineage: Eukaryota; Metazoa; Chordata; Actinopteri; Syngnathiformes; Syngnathidae
Exons: 4
Source: RefSeq, a predicted model, not a curated record